Panicum virgatum (switchgrass) is the source of this 1032-nucleotide long non-coding RNA. RefSeq lists it as uncharacterized. NCBI's taxonomy places the organism in Eukaryota, Viridiplantae, Streptophyta, Magnoliopsida, Poales, Poaceae. The record is from RefSeq and is a predicted model, not a curated record. The transcript is spliced from 2 exons.
CCUGAGAAUCCAAAAGAGGUGAAAAAGCCGCUCUGUGUGCUGCUUUUCUCCGUCCUUAUCCUGUGCUACAGUAGAGAACGGGCAAAAAGCAGGCGGCUCUCGUUCUCAUCGGAGAUUCCGCCUGGUCCCCUCGUCCCUGACGACUCCGGCAGGUCGCCGGCGUUGGGGGACGGGGGGAUCCGACCUUCUUCGAGUGAGUAUGUAUAGAGUAGGUUUCCUAGCUCUUUUGGUUUGCUCGCCGGCAUGUGUGGCGGCGGAGCUCAGUUGUGCGACGGCGGCGUUCGUGCUGCUGGGGUCGCAAAUAAGUGUCUCUCCUUCCUUCUUCGACGGCGGUGACAGGUUCGGCAACGCUGUCGGCGAUGGUUGGGCGAGGUCUUCCUGGCGCGUCUCUGGUGGUGGUGGAGGUCUCUACACCAUAUCUGACGACGCGCGAAGGUGGGUUUCUCCCCCUGCUGUUGGCGAUGCUUCUGGCGUCACCGGGGGUGGGGAUGAAAGCUUUUGUUCCUCUCCUUUUCUCUGGUGGCGAUGGUGGUGUCGGUCCCGGAGAUGAAGGAUUGAGACUCCUGUUCCGAUCACUGGUGUCUUCAUCGGUGAAGGCGGAUUGCUUGCUGUUCUUCCUCGACCUCGACAAGGAUGGCCGAUGUGCUUGGGAGGCCAUUUACUCGGCUUCGGUGCCUAGCAGUAAGUCCCCCUCUGCGGUCUCUUCCACAAGCUGGAGGUCUCGUCAGGUGUCUUGGGCGAGCUGCUUGCUUGGACACUGUGUUUCUUCCCCAACUCUGGCGGAUUCGGAAGAGGUGCGAUGUCCAGGAACCUUGUGUGAAGAUCCAAGGACUUCAUUUUCAAAUUUGAAUGUUUUGAGGGUCUUGUACGCAAAGUUGCACCUUUGGAGGAUGGAGAUUACAGACUUUAUUGUAAAUUUCUUUUCCUUCAGAGUGCUAGUUGUAAAAGCUCUGCUUUUAUAAAGUGGGAUCCGCCCCUUCGCAAAAAAAAAAGAGAAUGAAAAAGAGGAUGUCUGUGAUUUUUUUCGAUCCA